AACUUCACAAUUUAAAGGUUGUUUGCUUUGAAGGUAAACUUUGCUUCUUCUUGUUUUUGGUUUUAAAUCAAUUGUUCACUCUUGAUUAUAUCAACAACAUUGAAUAUCAAUGAAAGAAAUGAAAAAUUAUUCCUAAUUUAUUCAAUCAAAUAUCAAGAACAAGCGUCAACAUGACAGGCUGGGAAUAAAUAAAUAUAAAUAAAACAAUGAAUCAAAUGAAGGAAAAAAGCUGUGAAAAUGUCUUCCAUUACGCUUUUAUCAACUUGCAAUUUUCAUUGAGAAAUGUUUGGUUAUUGAAAAAGAUAACAAUCGUGAAAUUGUUUCAAUCAUGGCAACUCUUUUCUCCAAAUUAUUGUUGAUCAUUUUCAUCACGUAAAUGAAACAAACCGAGCUCAUUAACAUAUUUGUAGCCAAGCUCAAUAUCAAAAUGAAUGACAUGUUCAUUAGGAUAAAAUCAAUUUGCAAAACAAAUUUUGCUCCAACAAUGACAAAUAAAGACUAAUUUUUUCGUGCAACUUUCAGCUGAUCAAAUGAUGAGCUAAACUUCAAGGAAACCAAUCGAUGUGCUAAACGAAAAUAUCUUUUCGCAUUUUCAUAUUUUGUCUGAGAACUCGACUUUACAGCCUGAGAACUGUCGAAACGUUUUCAACUGGUUUUAUGACCGUCGUAAGAUUUUGUUUAAACAUUUUGGCAAACGAGAAAAGAUUUUGGGAAAUUGUCUAAAGUCAUGAAGAAAUGCUGUUCUUUUAACCGAGUUUACCUUUUCAUGAUUGUUGGUUGAAGUACAAAUGAUUCAAUGUUUUAUGAUUAAUCAAAAAAUAAGAUGAAACUAUUAUCGAUGUUUCCAUUGUUUGGAUAAAACAAAUGACUUUUGAUAAUCGUUAUUGAUAUUUACAUUUGUUAGUUUUUCCCUUUAACCAACAUGUAAUCUUCAAUUGAACAAUGAACAAUUUCAACUAAAUUGAUAACUUAAUCAUUAUAUCAAUAAAAGACGAGAGUUACGCGAAAAAUGUUAAGAAUGGGAAAAGCAUUCAUUCAUUGAAACCUGAAAUGUACAUUAUACAAUAAACAGACAAACAGAUAAAAACAAUCAAAAGGUAAGCUUCCAUUUAAACGUUGAUUUGAUUUGUUGGUUUAUUUACAGAGUAAAAUGAAUAGUUGAUCCAAAGCAAUUAUUAAUAAACUGUUACAGUCGUUUUUGGGUUUCACUUUGAGUUUGCAUUUCAACAGCUAUGAUAGCUGAACAGAUUGGCAAGGAAUCGAACGGGAAAAACUGACAAAAUGAGACAAGAAAAGAUGAUAAAAAAAAGACAAAAGAUAAACACGAAAAGGUAAACAGAUGAGUGUUGUGCUUUCAUGAUGAGUUCAUUUUGAUGACAAGAUGAACUUGAAAGUUGAUAAACAAGGUAAAACUGGUGCAAUGAAAUGAAAAGUAAAAACAAGUUAACAGAUAUUCAAAUGAACCACAAUUAAAUCGGUAAAUAUUUAUCAUGGUCAAUAUUGAGACUAAAUUUACUCUCAAAAUAUUUAUUGAAGACAAGAAAUAGGUGCUACAAACAAUUUACCAAAGGUACCAUUAAAGACAAGAGUAAAUCUCAAGCAUGUUGCUCAUCUAGACGAUGGAAUGAAGACAAAAGGAUAAAAGAUGGAAUGAUGAGGAUAAACAGUUUGGACAGUUUAGUUUUAAAGUGAAGAGCCUCUUGAAUAACCUAAGAUUGAAAAAUUCCCAAGAAAUGAUGGAUUCGCAUCCAACACCAUAUUGUCAUCACUUGUAGCAAAAGUUUAUUUAUAUGAUUAUCUUUAGGCACACAAGUGUAUUUGAUACAGUUUGUUGCAUUUAAUGGGCAACAAUGUUGAAGAGUAAACAGAAAACUAUUUAAGUGAUAUUUUCAUCAUAACCAAUUUUGUAAAUCUAUAUUACUCCGUUGAGAAGUGCUGAUGGUGAGGAGACAAGGGUUUCAUGGAUUAUCGAGCAUUUCCUCCAGAUUAUCAUGUAAACCAUUUUUAUCCCUCAACAAGGUAAUUGAAAAGGCAGAGUUUAAGGCCACUAAGAAGGGCUUGAAUUUUCUCUUUCGGAUUAGAAUAAUUGAUGUCGUCGAGAAAAUCGAAGUUUUAGGCAAAUUUUCUCUGAACACA
Non-coding RNA from Tetranychus urticae (two-spotted spider mite), 2136 nucleotides. Lineage: Eukaryota; Metazoa; Arthropoda; Arachnida; Trombidiformes; Tetranychidae. The record is from RefSeq and is a predicted model, not a curated record.